Molecule: ribosomal RNA, 433 nt
Filed under: uncultured bacterium
Lineage: Bacteria
Description: partial 16S ribosomal RNA
Rfam family: Bacterial small subunit ribosomal RNA
Source: RNAcentral
AACGAACGCUGGCGGCAUGCCUAACACAUGCAAGUCGAACGAGACCUUCGGGUCUAGUGGCGCACGGGUGCGUAACGCGUGGGAACCUGCCCUUAGGUUCGGAAUAACUCCCCGACAGGGGUGCUAAUACCGGAUAAUGUCUUCGGACCAAAGAUUUAUCGCCUUUGGAUGGGCCCGCGUUGGAUUAGCUAGUUGGUAGGGUAAAAGCCUACCAAGGCGACGAUCCAUAGCUGGUCAGAGAGGAUGAUCAGCCACACUGGGACUGAGACACGGCCCAGACUCCUACGGGAGGCAGCAGUGGGGAAUAUUGGACAAUGGGCGAAAGCCUGAUCCAGCAAUGCCGCGUGAGUGAUGAAGGCCUUAGGGUUGUAAAGCUCUUUUACCCGGGAUGAUAAUGACAGUACCGGGAGAAUAAGCUCCGGCUAACUCCGUG